CCUACGGGAGGCAGCAGUGGGGAAUUUUGGACAAUGGGGGCAACCCUGAUCCAGCAAUGCCGCGUGAGUGAAGAAGGCCUUCGGGUUGUAAAGCUCUUUUGUCAGGGAAGAAACGGUGUUUCCUAAUACGGAAUGCUAAUGACGGUACCUGAAGAAUAAGCACCGGCUAACUACGUGCCAGCAGCCGCGGUAAUACGUAGGGUGCAAGCGUUAAUCGGAAUUACUGGGCGUAAAGCGUGCGCAGGCGGUUUUAUAAGUCUGAUGUGAAAUCCCCGGGCUCAACCUGGGAACUGCAUUGGAGACUGUAAGGCUAGAGUGUGUCAGAGGGGGGUAGAAUUCCACGUGUAGCAGUGAAAUGCGUAGAUAUGUGGAGGAAUACCGAUGGCGAAGGCAGCCCCCUGGGAUAACACUGACGCUCAUGCACGAAAGCGUGGGGAGCAAACAGGAUUAGAUACCCUGGUAGUCCACGCCCUAAACGAUGUCUACUAGUUGUCGGGUCUUAAUUGACUUGGUAACGCAGCUAACGCGUGAAGUAGACCGCCUGGGGAGUACGGUCGCAAGAUUAAAACCNAAAGGAAUUGACCCGGNGUGAGAGNGACGACGACGACGACGAGGGAGGAGG
RNAcentral lists this ribosomal RNA (622 nucleotides) under uncultured bacterium. RNAcentral's name for it is "bacterial SSU rRNA". It matches the Rfam family "Bacterial small subunit ribosomal RNA", at positions 338 to 1363 of the family's 1533-position model. The record is from RNAcentral.